UACGUAGGGUGCAAGCGUUGUCCGGAAUUAUUGGGCGUAAAGAGCUCGUAGGCGGUCUGUCGCGUCGGCUGUGAAAUCCCGAGGCUCAACCUCGGGUCUGCAGUCGAUACGGGCAAACUAGAGUAUUGCAGGGGAGAAUGGAAUUCCUGGUGUAGCGGUGAAAUGCGCAGAUAUCAGGAAGAACACCCGUGGCGAAGGCGGUUCUCUGGGACGGUACUGACGCUGAGACGCGAAAGCGUGGGGAGCGAACAGG
Molecule: ribosomal RNA, 253 nt
Filed under: uncultured bacterium
Lineage: Bacteria
Description: partial 16S ribosomal RNA
Rfam family: Bacterial small subunit ribosomal RNA
Source: RNAcentral